UGGGCUAUAGCCAAGCGGUAAGGCAACGGACUUUGACUCCGUCAUUUCGGUGGUUCGAAUCCACCUAGCCCAACCA
RNAcentral lists this transfer RNA (76 nucleotides) under Bacteroides sp. RNAcentral's name for it is "tRNA-Gln". It matches the Rfam family "tRNA". Rfam says of the family: Transfer RNA (tRNA) molecules are approximately 80 nucleotides in length. Their secondary structure includes four short double-helical elements and three loops (D, anti-codon, and T loops). Further hydrogen bonds mediate the characteristic L-shaped molecular structure. tRNAs have two regions of fundamental functional importance: the anti-codon, which is responsible for specific mRNA codon recognition, and the 3' end, to which the tRNAs corresponding amino acid is attached (by aminoacyl-tRNA synthetases). tRNAs cope with the degeneracy of the genetic code in two manners: having more than one tRNA (with a specific anti-codon) for a particular amino acid; and 'wobble' base-pairing, i.e. permitting non-standard base-pairing at the 3rd anti-codon position. Lineage: Bacteria; Pseudomonadati; Bacteroidota; Bacteroidia; Bacteroidales; Bacteroidaceae. The record is from RNAcentral.